Molecule: long non-coding RNA, 1645 nt
Organism: Manis javanica (Malayan pangolin)
Lineage: Eukaryota; Metazoa; Chordata; Mammalia; Pholidota; Manidae
Source: RefSeq, a predicted model, not a curated record
GGGCGGGACAAGCAAGAUGAGGAAGUGCAGGGCCAUGGACAUGGCCACUGCCGCCAGCAGCCAGGGGUUCAGCCAGGGUGGCAUCCGCAGCAACGACUGGUUCUCCGAGACGCUGCCAAGGGCACAGGGUGCUCAUCUCAGGAGAAACCCACAGCUGGCUCUGCAAACACCCCAAAGGCUCUUUCAAAGCUGCGUCAGCUGCUCAGACAGGACAGACCAACAGAUCGCAACUUGGGUCUCCUUGCUUGCUUCCAGAGCUGUGCUGAGCUGAGCCAGCCCCAUGGUGGACCCCUGCCAGCCAGGUAACUUCAAGAGGUCAGUGGGUCCUUCCCCGAGAAACGCGUUGGUUAUGGUGGGGGGCAGGGAGUAGGGGGCCUGGCACAUUCCUUCCCUCUACUCUUCAUCUCCUCAGUUUGACCUGCUGCCUGAAGUUCUACAUUUAGGGGCUCAUGUCUCUGAGCUCAGACCUCAAUGUUUCGGGGGUUCCCCAGUAAAGGUAAGACACUUCUGGGCAGUUCUGCCCCUUGGUCUCCCCCAACCAGAUGACUGGGAGAGGGAGUGACCACUUCUCUGGCUCUGGGCUGUGCUAUCGCGAUGUUUCCAGUGGCCCCUUAGGUGGUGGGUGUCUGUAUAAGGCUGGAAAGGGACAGCCAUUGGCCAACCAUAGGGUUCCAGACCCCUUUCCCUGGAACACCAAUAACUUGGGCUUGCGAGUUCUACCUCAGAAACAACCCAAUAGGCUCCCUGGCCAUCCUUGCUCACCAGCUGGUAGAAGGUGAUGUGAGGUCCCUCGGCAUCGUACAGGAACCACCAGGUGGCGGCAGCCACUGUGGCCAGGCCUACAUACACUGCAGGGAGGGCAGGAGGAAACCGGCUGUAGUGGACAGCUGUGCUUUUCUGGCAUCCAUUUCCCCUUCCUAAUAAGUCCCUGAAUUUCUGUCUGAAAACCACCCUCUCCCUCUCUAAGCUGGGUGGUUUCCAUACCUACCCUCAGGGCCAGCGGUGGGCCUGACUGGCAAUCAGCAUCUGCCAUACCCUUGGCUAUGGUGAUUGGCCAGAACAUAAGCAGGUAACCCAAUCUGAGCCAAGAAUAACCCUAAGACUUCUAUCAUAUUCCUGAGGGAGUAGUAGGAUGAAAAGCUCUCCCUUCUGCUGAAUGUGGAGUUAUAAUGGAGUGAGCACGAGGGCUGGCACUGCAGCAGCCACUCUGCUACCCCGAAGGUCAUCUGCCUGAGAAUGCAGUUGAGGCAAGACAAUGAUACUGUCUGAGGUCUGGAUCCAGCCAUGUAUGAGGCAUGCUCUAAUUUUUUCAGUUAGAGGAGCCCACACCAUUUCUUUUAACACAAGCCAGGCUGAGUCAUACUAUCUGCAGUUUGUAAGACUAACUAAUAGGAGAGUCUUAGGAAGUUACUAGAACCCCACUGAGGGCUGAGGCGCUUACCUCCAAUAGCCAGAUAUCGGAAGAGGAGCCAGCCACUGAUGAGGGCCUCAUGAGGGUUCCGGGGUGGCUUCUCCAUGAUGUCUAGGUCAGGCGGGUUGAAGCCCAGGGCUGUGGCAGGUAGACCAUCUGUCACCAGGUUCACCCAGAGCAGCUGCACAGGGAUCAGGGCUUCGGGUAGGCCCAGAAUUGCCGUGAGGAAGAUAC